GGGUUGUGAGGUUAAGCGACUAAGCGUACACGGUGGAUGCCCUGGCAGUCAGAGGCGAUGAAGGGCGUGCUAAUCUGCGAUAAGCGCCGGUAAGGUGAUAUGAACCGUUAUAACCGGCGAUACCCGAAUGGGGAAACCCAGUGUGAUUCGUCACACUAUCAUUAACUGAAUCCAUAGGUUAAUGAGGCGAACCGGGGAACUGAAACAUCUAAGUACCCCGAGGAAAAGAAAUCAACCGAGAUUCCCCAGUAGCGGCGAGCGAACGGGAGGAGCCCAGAGCCUGAAUCAGCAUGUGUGUUAGUGGAAGCGUCUGGAAAGGCGCGCGAUACAGGUGACAGCCCCGUACACAAAAGCGCAUGUGCUGUGAGCUCGAUGAGUAGGGCGGGACACGUGGUAUCCUGUCUGAAUAUGGGGGGACCAUCCUCCAAGGCUAAAUACUCCUGACUGACCGAUAGUGAACCAGUACCGUGAGGGAAAGGCGAAAAGAACCCCGGCGAGGGGAGUGAAAAAGAACCUGAAACCGUGUACGUACAAGCAGUGGGAGCACAGGUUUACCUGUGUGACUGCGUACCUUUUGUAUAAUGGGUCAGCGACUUAUAUUCUGUAGCAAGGUUAACCGUAUAGGGGAGCCGCAGGGAAACCGAGUCUUAAUUGGGCGUUAAGUUGCAGGGUAUAGACCCGAAACCCGGUGAUCUAGCCAUGGGCAGGUUGAAGGUUGGGUAACACUAACUGGAGGACCGAACCGACUAAUGUUGAAAAAUUAGCGGAUGACCUGUGGCUGGGGGUGAAAGGCCAAUCAAACCGGGAGAUAGCUGGUUCUCCCCGAAAGCUAUUUAGGUAGCGCCUCGUGAAUUCAUCUCCGGGGUAGAGCACUGUUUCGGCUAGGGGGCCAUCCCGGCUUACCAACCCGAUGCAAACUGCGAAUACCGGAGAAUGUUAUCACGGAGACACACGGCGGGUGCUAACGUCCGUCGUGAAGAGGGAAACAACCCAGACCGCCAGCUAAGGUCCCAAAGUCAUGGUUAAGUGGGAAACGAUGUGGGAAGGCCCAGACAGCCAGGAUGUUGGCUUAGAAGCAGCCAUCAUUUAAAGAAAGCGUAAUAGCUCACUGGUCGAGUCGGCCUGCGCGGAAGAUGUAACGGGGCUAAACCAUGCACCGAAGCUGCGGCAGCGACACUGUGUGUUGUUGGGUAGGGGAGCGUUCUGUAAGCCUGCGAAGGUGGCCUGUGAGGGUUGCUGGAGGUAUCAGAAGUGCGAAUGCUGACAUAAGUAACGAUAAAGCGGGUGAAAAGCCCGCUCGCCGGAAGACCAAGGGUUCCUGUCCAACGUUAAUCGGGGCAGGGUGAGUCGACCCUAAGGCGAGGCCGAAAGGCGUAGUCGAUGGGAAACGGGUUAAUAUUCCCGUACUUGGUGUUACUGCGAAGGGGGACGGAAAGGCUAUGUUGGCCGGGCGACGGUUGUCCCGGUUUAAGCGUGUAGGUGUGUGUUCGGUAAAUCCGGUUCACUUUAACACUGAGGCGUGACGACGAGGCACUACGGUGCUGAAGCAACAAAUGCCCUGUUUCCCGGAAAAGCCUCUAAGCAUCAGGUAACAUCAAAUCGUACCCCAAACCGACACAGGUGGUCAGGUAGAGAAUACCAAGGCGCUUGAGAGAACUCGGGUGAAGGAACUAGGCAAAAUGGUGCCGUAACUUCGGGAGAAGGCACGCUGACACGUAGGUGAAGUGAUUUACUCAUGGAGCUGAAGUCAGUCGAAGAUACCAGCUGGCUGCAACUGUUUAUUAAAAACACAGCACUGUGCAAACACGAAAGUGGACGUAUACGGUGUGACGCCUGCCCGGUGCCGGAAGGUUAAUUGAUGGGGUCAGCGCAAGCGAAGCUCCUGAUCGAAGCCCCGGUAAACGGCGGCCGUAACUAUAACGGUCCUAAGGUAGCGAAAUUCCUUGUCGGGUAAGUUCCGACCUGCACGAAUGGCGUAAUGAUGGCGGGCUGUCUCCACCCGAGACUCAGUGAAAUUGAACUCGCUGUGAAGAUGCAGUGUACCCGCGGCAAGACGGAAAGACCCCGUGAACCUUUACUAUAGCUUGACACUGAACAUUGAGCCUUGAUGUGUAGGAUAGGUGGGAGGCUUUGAAGCGUGGACGCCAGUCUGCAUGGAGCCGACCUUGAAAUACCACCCUUUAAUGUUUGAUGUUCUAACGUGGACCCGUAAUCCGGGUUGCGGACAGUGUCUGGUGGGUAGUUUGACUGGGGCGGUCUCCUCCUAAAGAGUAACGGAGGAGCACGAAGGUUGGCUAAUCUGGUCGGACAUCAGGAGGUUAGUGCAAUGGCAUAAGCCAGCUUGACUGCGAGCGUGACGGCGCGAGCAGGUGCGAAAGCAGGUCAUAGUGAUCCGGUGGUUCUGAAUGGAAGGGCCAUCGCUCAACGGAUAAAAGGUACUCCGGGGAUAACAGGCUGAUACCGCCCAAGAGUUCAUAUCGACGGCGGUGUUUGGCACCUCGAUGUCGGCUCAUCACAUCCGGGGCUGAAGUAGGUCCCAAGGGUAUGGCUGUUCGCCAUUUAAAGUGGUACGCGAGCUGGGUUUAGAACGUCGUGAGACAGUUCGGUCCCUAUCUGCCGUGGGCGCUGGAGAACUGAGGGGCUGCUCCUAGUACGAGAGGACCGGAGUGGACGCAUCACUGGUGUUCGGGUUGUCAUGCCAAUGGCACUGCCCGGUAGCUAAAUGCGGAAGAGAUAAGUGCUGAAAGCAUCUAAGCACGAAACUUGCCCCGAGAUGAGUUCUCCCUGAGACUUAGAGUCUCCUGAAGGAACGUUGAAGACGACGACGUUGAUAGGCCGGGUGUGUAAGCGCAGCGAUGCGUUGAGCUAACCGGUACUAAUGAACCGUGAGGCUUAACCUUACAACGCCGAAG
This 2912-nucleotide ribosomal RNA is filed under the name Salmonella enterica subsp. enterica serovar Adjame. RNAcentral describes it as "23S ribosomal RNA". It matches the Rfam family "Bacterial large subunit ribosomal RNA". Lineage: Bacteria; Pseudomonadati; Pseudomonadota; Gammaproteobacteria; Enterobacterales; Enterobacteriaceae. The record is from RNAcentral.